RNAcentral lists this ribosomal RNA (136 nucleotides) under uncultured bacterium. RNAcentral's name for it is "partial 16S ribosomal RNA". It matches the Rfam family "Bacterial small subunit ribosomal RNA", at positions 1361 to 1496 of the family's 1533-position model. The record is from RNAcentral.
GGUGAAUACGUUCCCGGGUCUUGUACACACCGCCCGUCACACCAUGGGAGCCUGGAAUGCCCGAAGCCGGUGACCGAACCGAGAGGGCGGAACCGCCUAAGGCAGGCCCGGUGACUGGGGUGAAGUCGUAACAAGG